UACGGAGGGUGCAAGCGUUAUCCGGAUUCACUGGGUUUAAAGGGUGCGUAGGCGGGCAUUUAAGUCAGUGGUGAAAUACCUGAGCUUAACUUGGGAACUGCCAUUGAUACUAUUUGUCUUGAAUGUCGUGGAGGUUAGCGGAAUAUGUCAUGUAGCGGUGAAAUGCUUAGAUAUGACAUAGAGCACCUAUUGCGAAGGCAGCUAACUACGCGAAUAUUGACGCUGAGGCACGAAAGCGUGGGGAUCAAACAGG
This 253-nucleotide ribosomal RNA is filed under the name uncultured bacterium. Its description in RNAcentral is "partial 16S ribosomal RNA". It matches the Rfam family "Bacterial small subunit ribosomal RNA", at positions 524 to 776 of the family's 1533-position model. The record is from RNAcentral.